UCCGUAGGUGAACCUGCGGAGGGAUCAUUACACAAAUAUGAAGGCGGGCUGGAACCUCUCGGGGUUACAGCCUUGCUGAAUUAUUCACCCUUGUCUUUUGCGUACUUCUUGUUUCCUUGGUGGGUUCGCCCACCACUAGGACAAACAUAAACCUUUUGUAAUUGCAAUCAGCGUCAGUAACAAAUUAAUAAUUACAACUUUCAACAACGGAUCUCUUGGUUCUGGCAUCGAUGAAGAACGCAGCGAAAUGCGAUAAGUAGUGUGAAUUGCAGAAUUCAGUGAAUCAUCGAAUCUUUGAACGCACAUUGCGCCCUUUGGUAUUCCAAAGGGCAUGCCUGUUCGAGCGUCAUUUGUACCCUCAAGCUUUGCUUGGUGUUGGGCGUCUUGUCUCUAGCUUUGCUGGAGACUCGCCUUAAAGUAAUUGGCAGCCGGCCUACUGGUUUCGGAGCGCAGCACAAGUCGCACUCUCUAUCAGCAAAGGUCUAGCAUCCAUUGAGCCUUUUUUUCAACUUUUGACCUCGGAUCAGGUAGGGAUACCCGCUGAACUUAAGCAUAUCAAUAAGCGGAGGA
Molecule: ribosomal RNA, 570 nt
Filed under: uncultured Alternaria
Lineage: Eukaryota; Fungi; Ascomycota; Dothideomycetes; Pleosporales; Pleosporaceae
Description: eukaryotic LSU rRNA
Rfam family: 5.8S ribosomal RNA (bases 196-349)
Source: RNAcentral